GCAACGACUUGGGCACUGUCUCAACGAGAGACCCGGUGAAAUUAUACUAUGCGUGAAGAUGCGCAUUACCCGCGACAGGACGGAAAGACCCCGUGGAGCUUUACUGUAGCCUGAUAUGGAAUGUUGGUACAGCUUGUACAGGAUAGGUGGGAGCCUUAGAAACCGGAGCGCUAGCUUCGGUGGAGGCAUCCGUGGGAUACCACCCUGGCUGUAUUGACAUUCUAACCCAGAACCGUUAUCCGGUUCGGAGACAGUGUCAGGUGGGCAGUUUGACUGGGGCGGUCGCCUCCCAAAGAGUAACGGAGGCGCCCAAAGGUUCCCUCAGAAUGGUUGGAAAUCAUUCGUAGCGUGCAAAGGC
RNAcentral lists this ribosomal RNA (358 nucleotides) under Terribacillus saccharophilus. RNAcentral describes it as "bacterial LSU rRNA". It matches the Rfam family "Bacterial large subunit ribosomal RNA", at positions 2001 to 2358 of the family's 2925-position model. Lineage: Bacteria; Bacillati; Bacillota; Bacilli; Caryophanales; Bacillaceae. The record is from RNAcentral.